Callorhinus ursinus (northern fur seal) is the source of this 305-nucleotide long non-coding RNA. RefSeq lists it as uncharacterized. The record is from RefSeq and is a predicted model, not a curated record. Lineage: Eukaryota; Metazoa; Chordata; Mammalia; Carnivora; Otariidae.
AAGUGGCCACUUCCAAUGUUACUGGCAAAGAGAGAUGCUCCAAUCUGGAAACACAAAGGGAAAGUCUGGUUUCCUAGACUCCAUGGACACAUACACUGCAUUUUUCAAGGAUAUACAUAUAUCUAAAUACAUAGGUUAGAAGACAGAUUGGAAGGAUAUAUAUUAAAAACCCAAGAUUGGAAGCCUGGAAGGAAAAAGGAGAAUGAGACUGUGAAUGGGAGAUGAAGGAGAAAACAUCAGGUGAGAAGACUGAAGACCAGAACAGUGAUUUGCCCAACGUCCCACAGCCAAACAUGACCAACAUC